UACGGAGGGUGCGAGCGUUGUCCGGAAUCACUGGGCGUAAAGGGCGCGUAGGCGGUCCGGUAAGCGUGUGGUGAAAAGCCCGGGGCUCAACCCCGGGUCGGCCGUGCGAACUGCGGGACUGGAGCACUGUAGAGGCAGGCGGAAUUCCGGGUGUAGCGGUGGAAUGCGUAGAGAUCCGGAAGAACACCGGUGGCGAAGGCGGCCUGCUGGGCAGUAGCUGACGCUGAGGCGCGACAGCGUGGGGGAGCAAACAGG
RNAcentral lists this ribosomal RNA (255 nucleotides) under uncultured bacterium. Its description in RNAcentral is "partial 16S ribosomal RNA". It matches the Rfam family "Bacterial small subunit ribosomal RNA", at positions 524 to 776 of the family's 1533-position model. The record is from RNAcentral.